This is a non-coding RNA of Acanthosepion pharaonis, 87 nucleotides long. The record is from the annotation of a GenBank genome assembly. NCBI's taxonomy places the organism in Eukaryota, Metazoa, Mollusca, Cephalopoda, Sepiida, Sepiidae.
GUUCCCAUACGAUCACCGAAGUUAAGCAACGUCGAGCCUGGUCAGUACCUAGAUGGGUGACAGCUUGGGAAUACCAGGUACUGUAAG